Molecule: transfer-messenger RNA, 308 nt
Filed under: Candidatus Onthocola gallistercoris
Lineage: Bacteria; Bacillati; Bacillota; Bacilli
Description: partial transfer-messenger RNA
Rfam family: transfer-messenger RNA
About the family: Bacterial tmRNA, also known as 10Sa RNA or SsrA, is named for its dual tRNA and mRNA-like properties. Its role is to liberate the mRNA from a stalled ribosome. To accomplish this part of the tmRNA is used as a reading frame that ends in a translation stop signal.
Source: RNAcentral
GGGGUUGUACUGGUUUCGACGGGGGUGUGGAAGUUUGGGAAGCCAUCCGCAGACUCCGGGACUGCGUAAAAACCUGGAAUUAAAUAUAAAAGCUAACAACGAAGAUUACGCUUUAGCUGCUGCUUAAUGCGGCUUGUCGGCCGGGGAUCGCUCACUGUCCCCGUCACCGGCAUCAAACAGGUGAGGCCCUUUGCUGUCAAAGCUUUGAGACAGUAAAAGAAUCAUGAAGCUACUGACCUUGUAAGCCUGUCUUUCGGCGUACAGGGAAGGGAAUGUGAAUAGAAUGACUGUGAUGGGAGAUGCCUGAG